GGUACCAUGCUCUCUAUUUCCUUAUACCAUUGUAGCUCCCUUUGCAUUUGCAGAGCUGCUCCAGGGACUCGAACAAGUUGAAAGGAAGGAGACAACUUGGCAGCCAAAUGUAAAUAAUUGUUUCUAAACACAUCACUCUGAAUCACAAAUGUACGUCUCUUUGCACCCAAUCCAUAGAUUAGGUUGAAGAUUUUUUCUUGACGAAGUGUGACUGCAUGUGCAAAUAGUGUUCUUCCUCUUUUAUCAGCUCUCCAUAUAAUUACUGGAUUGCAUGUGAUCAACUCGUUGAUAAACUCAAAUGAACCACACUUGAUUGCAUCAUAGAUCACUUGAUCCAAGCCAAUAUUCUUGAGUUGUUCAUUGCUUAAUGUUGGGAUCUCCUUGACAAUGACUUUGAGGAGUUGCAAGGCUUUAGCGUGUUUGAGCUUUAAAUCUUUGAUGCCUUUAGGGACAAGAAAUUGCAAGAAUCUCCAAACAACACGAUGUAAUAAAUUGACCACUUGUUUUGUUUUGAUUUUCCCAUAAUUUGAGCCUGGACUAUUAGACCUUUGGCCAUUCUCCUCAUCAUUAGGCUCCCGAGAGGACAUUUCACCAAGAUAAACAUUCGGCACACAUGAGUAGAUCCAUUGCUUCCAAAAUUCAAGCUUACUUCCACUUAAAAAUGCCGAAGGUUCAUUGGCUAACAAUUUGAUAGCAUAGUUGUUAUGAAAAUCUUGGGUGUAACCAAGUUGUGGAUACUUUUUAAGCAGAUCCAAUGCUUCAUCGUACAUCUCAUUUGUUAUAAGGC
Molecule: unclassified non-coding RNA, 787 nt
Filed under: Hevea brasiliensis (rubber tree)
Lineage: Eukaryota; Viridiplantae; Streptophyta; Magnoliopsida; Malpighiales; Euphorbiaceae
Source: RNAcentral